Arachis duranensis is the source of this 410-nucleotide long non-coding RNA. RefSeq lists it as uncharacterized. Lineage: Eukaryota; Viridiplantae; Streptophyta; Magnoliopsida; Fabales; Fabaceae. The record is from RefSeq and is a predicted model, not a curated record. The transcript is spliced from 4 exons.
UAGCUACUGCUGCCGAAACUGCCGCUUUACGUGCAUCUUAAGGCACGAAGAAUGAGGUUCGAAAAUUCAAGUUGAAGCAGCCUUAUAUAUAUACCUGACUAUAGCAAUACAGUUGUUAACAUUGCUGAGAAUGUCAAUGAUAGCUACAUUCUUUAUGAACCAAGUUACAUGAAUAAAAUGAGAUUAUUUCCAUUUGCAAGCUUGAUGAAUUGAAAGAAUUGAACACCAUUGUUCUAACCAAAAAUCCAAUCAGAAAAUUUGGCGGGACUCUGACAGGGGUGAAAUCUAUCACAAAGGCUCUCCCAGAUGAAUUAGCACAGAAUUCAAAGCUGCAGAAUUUAGAUUUGGAGAACAAUAUGCUGCAGAAUUCAUAAUUAUCUAGACACUUUUUAACCCUUGUAUCUUCAUCG